GACAAAGCUCGUCGAAUCAUUGGUAAUCGCUACCGACAGUGAUUGCCUUAUAAAGUUUUCAAUAUAUCGUAAAACAGAUGUAUUGAUUGAUGCUAUGCAAGGUGAUCAAGUUCGUCGAAUUCGCGAAGCAAUCACGAAAACCAACGCCGAACGAUCCAACACUACAACCCGGAUUUCACAAAAGGAUGCUUUUCCUCCUGGCACGCCACAAACUUGGGGUUCCUUUCCAAUCCUACUCGGCUAUACAACCUGUAACAAAAUCAGAGAGAGAAAAACUUUCUAAGAUGGAGGUCUCCCGCUGAUACUGUUCGUCAUUACAAGUCGCAGGUGACAAAAUCCAACCUACCUCUCCCAAAGUUGUAUAUAAGUCAAUCAUAACCAAUGCCUCCUUAAUGUACCUGCUGUGCCGUAUCAACGCAAUUAACACUUUCCUUUCCACCACAAGCAUUUCAAUACCGAAAGAUGCAGCAGUAUUUGUCCUAAUACGACGAAUCAAUGGAUCCUACUUCCACAGGUGAAAUGAAGUCAACAAAUUCUUUGGCUCUUUCCAUGUGAAGUCACGGAAGAAUUCGGUUUCUCUUCUGGGACUUCACAAACGAAAAGCUCCGCUCCAAUCCUACCCGCCGACAAAAGUUCCAAAUGACCGAAACGGUGGAAGACUUUUCAAAACAAAGAAGGUUUACGUCCAAUGAGGUGCGUCGUCAGCUGCAGUUGAAUCACUUACUGGCCACGCACCCGGCAGUUGUCGGUAAGCCAACUAUGACGACGUUUGCCUGCCAUUGGUACUUAUCAUAUCGCUUCAUCACAACCAACACAUUCCUUUGUCCUAGGAGCAUACUGAUUUUGAAAGAUUCAUCAGCACUUGUUCUAUUGCUACAGUCCAAGAGUUCCUUCCCAGAGACCAUCUUCGAGCAAACUGACGAUGAAAAAUCCGGAGCUCCCUUCCACAUCAUCCGAAACCAACUAGUCUUUCUCCUGGCACAACACUCACGAAAAACCUUUCCAAAAGCGAUCCCACUAGGGGAAGAGAGCUGUAGCGAAUCGAAAGGUAAACAACUUUCCAAAACGUAGGUCUCUUUGACAAGAAUCUUGCUUCAAUAGCUAGAUCGAGUUCUGGUCGCCGAAUGUGACUCAAGUAUGACGUUCAUCACUCUCUCAACCCUUUGUACAGCAGUUGUUCAUAAGUUAACUAUUAUCUUUCUUUUUAUUUCAUACCUACUGUACCGAUUCAUCAUAACUAACACUCUUCGAUCGAUGUCAGAGUACUUUAUUCUUCUUAGGUCUGUAGUCAAUAUACUUCAGUUUCAAAUAUCGGCCAUUCCACCCGAACUGGGUCAGUCAUCUCUCAAAUAUUUACUCAAUUUGGCAUAUCGAUUGUCCACGGUAAGUUAGGAUUUCGUGCCGGAGGAUUUUUGAAUUAGUGUGAAUUUCGAUUCAUUAUUACCAAUCGAAGAAUUGAGCAGCUUUUACUUCAAAAAAUCAUAACUUUGUCGAAAAUUACGUUAGAUUCAAAAUCAAGUUAUAUCUUUGGAAUCAGCUGAGCUACAGUUUUCCUGGUGGAACAAUAAGGGGUCAAGUUGUGCGACGUCGUCGAAAUCAUAGAGAAUGCUUCGAAUUUUACGUCGACCGGGGUGCUGCGGGACGAUCGGCGGGGACCGUUUUUUACAUCGUCCUCACGUGCGUGAGAAUAGCAUGCCUGGUACUCCUUCCGAAAACGAAUGGAAAAGAUGCAUACUACCUAUUUUCAGUGGGAAUUAUGGGAAAUAUGUAAUGAAUAUAAUAUAUACGCGAGUGGGUUAUUUCACAUGAAUAUGGAUCGGGGGUUUCGGGACUAAUCUGGCCCGAGCACGAGACCCUAGUGUAUAAAGAGGAUAUUUCAUAUCGCAUAAAAGAUGUACCCAUUAGUCAUAAUCAUAUAUCGUAUAAUUAUGUAAGAACUCCUCAUUUUUUUUACAAUACAAUCAUAUUGCAAUUCAAUAAAGAAAUAAAUAUAUACAAUGAAAAAUAUCUGCCGCUUGGUACACACGAGUGUCCACUAUAUCAAAUUUGUUGGCGGUGUGUAGAAGCAAGGGAAAAACAAAAUAUACUUCUCCUAUAUAACAUCAUAUAACUCGUCACUGUAGCAAGCAAGCUUUGCACAAAUAUUAAAGACCAUUUGAUUCUAUUG
This is a long non-coding RNA of Athalia rosae (coleseed sawfly), 2167 nucleotides long. RefSeq lists it as uncharacterized. The transcript is spliced from 2 exons. The record is from RefSeq and is a predicted model, not a curated record. Lineage: Eukaryota; Metazoa; Arthropoda; Insecta; Hymenoptera; Athaliidae.